Molecule: ribosomal RNA, 484 nt
Filed under: uncultured bacterium
Lineage: Bacteria
Description: partial 16S ribosomal RNA
Rfam family: Bacterial small subunit ribosomal RNA
Source: RNAcentral
AUUGAACGCUGGCGGAAUGCUUUACACAUGCAAGUCGAACGGCAGCACGGGGGCAGCCCUGGUGGCGAGUGGCGAACGGGUGAGUAAUACAUCGUAACGUGCCCGGUCGUGGGGGAUAACGUAGCGAAAGUUACGCUAAUACCGCAUACGAUCUGAGGAUGAAAGCGGGGGACCUUCGGGCCUCGCGCGAUCGGAGCGGCCGAUGUCAGAUUAGGUAGUUGGUGGGGUAAAGGCCUACCAAGCCGACGAUCUGUAGCUGGUCUGAGAGGACGACCAGCCACACUGGGACUGAGACACGGCCCAGACUCCGACGGGAGGCAGCAGUGGGGAAUUUUGGACAAUGGGCGCAAGCCUGAUCCAGCCAUUCCGCGUGAAGGACGAAGGCCUUCGGGUUGUAAACUGCUUUUGUACGGAACGAAAAGGCGCUGGCUAAUACCUGGGGAUCAUGACGGUACCGGAAGAAUAAGCACCGGCUAACUACGUG